RNAcentral lists this small nuclear RNA (281 nucleotides) under Erinaceus europaeus (western European hedgehog). RNAcentral's name for it is "7SK RNA". It matches the Rfam family "7SK RNA". Rfam says of the family: 7SK was discovered as an abundant small nuclear RNA in the mid-70s but a possible function has only recently been suggested. Two independent studies have found that 7SK RNA binds the CDK9/cyclin T complex (known as elongation factor P-TEFb). P-TEFb activates transcription by phosphorylating the C-terminal domain of RNA polymerase II. Lineage: Eukaryota; Metazoa; Chordata; Mammalia; Eulipotyphla; Erinaceidae. The record is from Rfam by way of RNAcentral.
GGAUGUGAGGGCGAUCUGUCACCCCAUUAAUCGCCAGGGUUGAUUCAGCUGAUCUGGCUGGCUAGGCGGGUGUCCCGUUCCUCUUUCACCGCUGCGCGCUCGGUUGAAGAGGACAGCCUUCCCUGAGUAGAGACGGACCGGUCUUCCGGUCAAGGGUAUAUGAGUAGCUGCAUUCCCCUGAUAGAACCUCCAAACAAAAAUAAAAAAGGUCGACAAAAGAGAAUAAAUACAUUUUUUUUAAAAAAAGAACAUAUAUGUGUGCACUAAAAUAUGUAUCACAU